GUCAAAGUGCCCAUGAGAAUUCUUUUUAAAGUGCAAGCUGUCCAAAAUCAGUGCCGGCACCCACAGGGCUGGGUGCCCUAGCGCAGUGCUUCUGCAGUUUCAGCGUGGACAGCAAUCACCUGGGCACAGUCCGUUAUAAGACACAUUCAGAUCCGUGGGGCAAAGCAGGGCCCGAGACUCUGCGUUCUAACGAGUGCUGGGGAGGAUAAUGCUGCUGGCCCCUGCCUACUGUGCAGAAGCAGGCUCUCCAGUGCCCCCAUCUUUUCCAGGCCAUCCAGCCGUUCUUGGGUCAGCCACUCACUCGGUGUCACUGCGAUAAAUCCCUUCGAGGAUGCCUAACUAUUCUUUUAGUCUAGGAAAGGGGAAUGUCGGAAGCAAGGGACACACAGAAAGUAGGGUUGUGGGGGGUGGGGGAAGCUUAGCUGCCUUUGCAACUGGGUUCCCCCUCCCCACCAUGGACCCCCUUAAGUCCCCCAGUGGGCUAUCAGAUGGGGUCUCAGACUGGACCCCCACAUUGGGAUGGGGGAUGCUCCCAGAAAGACCUGAAGAUUCAGGUUCAAGUUAACCUGAGUCACCACCACCAACUUGCCAACUUGGUGUUUGUUUUGAGCAGCCCUCACAGUCAGGCCCGUGUUCCCAGCGUAUUAUUUUUCCAGGUGGCAGAAGUGAAGGCCUUUGCCCUCACCAGGUCAGAGAUCUCAGAGGAAGCAGAAGCAAAGCUGACGCGCACAGAGCUAGUCCCCAGGGCUCCUCCUCUGGAGCUGUAAACAGGAAGUUGAAGGUACAUGCUUCAGGAACACCCUGUUGUUGUUUUUUUUUUGCUGGUUUACUCUGUAGCCAUUCUGCCCAUUCAGAGCAACCAGGGAGAAGAAGAUCCGAAAGCCUGUUGGCAGCCCUCUGAACCAUGCUGGCCAGAUCUGAUGAUAGCAAGGAUGCUGGGCAAAGAUUUGCACCCGGGGAGGGCACAGGCGGUGGUGGGUAGGGCUACACGUUUCUGGGAUGUGCCUUCUGGUUACUCCAGCCCACUUUCCCAAUCCCUCCAUGCCAUCCCCCAAAGUAAAUAUUUCUCAGGGCCACAGACAUUUGAGAAGCCAACCCCUGGGUGGUGA
Molecule: long non-coding RNA, 1109 nt
Filed under: Capra hircus (goat)
Lineage: Eukaryota; Metazoa; Chordata; Mammalia; Artiodactyla; Bovidae
Description: lncRNA (ENSCHIG00010026587.1)
Source: RNAcentral